CUAAUCAAACAAUUGAGGAUACCUAACCCUAAAAUCUGAUUCUAACUCCCAGGUGGUCUCAUCUUGCGAGUGAUUUUGUCAUAGAACCUUGAUAAAAAGAAUUUUUCUAUUGCGAAACACCCUACUCCUUUGGUUCAAAAUGCUGACAGGUAUCUCCUCAUAAGAUAAAUCCUCCUGAAGUAGAAAUGACUUGUAAGACAAAACAUGCGAAGGGUCAGGGUUAUAUUUACGCAAUAUUGACACAUGAAAGAUAUUAUGGACU
RNAcentral lists this long non-coding RNA (262 nucleotides) under Carica papaya (papaya). RNAcentral describes it as "long non-coding RNA (CPAP_LNC013967)". Lineage: Eukaryota; Viridiplantae; Streptophyta; Magnoliopsida; Brassicales; Caricaceae. The record is from RNAcentral.